Molecule: ribosomal RNA, 397 nt
Filed under: uncultured bacterium
Lineage: Bacteria
Description: partial 16S ribosomal RNA
Rfam family: Bacterial small subunit ribosomal RNA
Source: RNAcentral
AUACGUAGGGGGCGAGCGUUGUCCGGAAUGAUUGGGCGUAAAGGGCGCGUAGGCGGCCCGGUAAGUCUGGAGUGAAAGUCCUGUUUUUAAGAUGGGAAUUGCUUUGGAUACUGUCGGGCUUGAGUGCAGGAGAGGUAAGUGGAAUUCCCAGUGUAGCGGUGAAAUGCGUAGAGAUUAGGAGGAACACCAGUGGCGAAGGCGACUUACUGGACUGUAACUGACGCUGAGGCGCGAAAGUGUGGGGAGCAAACAGGAUUAGAUACCCUGGUAGUCCACACUGUAAACGAUGAAUGCUAGGUGUAGGGGGUAUCGACCCCUUCUGUGCCGCAGUCAACACAAUAAGCAUUCCGCCUGGGGAGUACGGCCGCAAGGUUGAAACUCAAAGGAAUUGACGGGG